RNAcentral lists this ribosomal RNA (500 nucleotides) under uncultured bacterium. RNAcentral's name for it is "partial 16S ribosomal RNA". It matches the Rfam family "Bacterial small subunit ribosomal RNA", at positions 30 to 523 of the family's 1533-position model. The record is from RNAcentral.
AUUGAACGCUGGCGGCAUGCCUUACACAUGCAAGUCGAACGGUAACAGGGAGCUUGCUCCGCUGACGAGUGGCGAACGGGUGAGUAAUGUAUCGGAACGUACCUUUUAGUGGGGGAUCACGUAGCGAAAGUUACGCUAAUACCGCAUAUUCUCUGAGGAGGAAAGCAGGGGACCUUCGGGCCUUGCGCUAAUAGAGCGGCUGAUAUCAGAUUAGCUAGUUGGUGAGGUAAAGGCUCACCAAGGCGACGAUCUGUAGCGGGUCUGAGAGGAUGAUCCGCCACACUGGAACUGAGACACGGUCCAGACUCCUACGGGAGGCAGCAGUGGGGAAUUUUGGACAAUGGGGGCAACCCUGAUCCAGCCAUGCCGCGUGAGUGAAGAAGGCCUUCGGGUUGUAAAGCUCUUUCGGCCGGGAAAAAAACGCAUGGGUUAAUACCCUGUGUGGAUGAUGGUACCGGAAUAAGAAGCACCGGCUAACUACGUGCCAGCAGCCGCCGUAA